Molecule: ribosomal RNA, 432 nt
Filed under: uncultured bacterium
Lineage: Bacteria
Description: partial 16S ribosomal RNA
Rfam family: Bacterial small subunit ribosomal RNA
Source: RNAcentral
ACGAACGCUGGCGGCAUGCCUAACACAUGCCAGUCGAACGAGACCUUCGGGUCUAGUGGCGCACGGGUGCGUAACGCGUGGGAACCUGCCCUUAGGUUCGGAAUAACUCCCCGAAAGGGGUGCUAAUACCGGAUAAUGUCUUCGGACCAAAGAUUUAUCGCCUUUGGAUGGGCCCGCGUUGGAUUAGCUAGUUGGUAGGGUAAAAGCCUACCAAGGCGACGAUCCAUAGCUGGUCUGAGAGGAUGAUCAGCCACACUGGGACUGGGACACGGCCCAGACUCCUACGGGAGGCAGCAGUGGGGAAUAUUGGACAAUGGGCGAAAGCCUGAUCCAGCAAUGCCGCGUGAGUGAUGAAGGCCUUAGGGUUGUAAAGCUCUUUUACCCGGGAUGAUAAUGACAGUACCGGGAGAAUAAGCUCCGGCUAACUCCGUG